GAGUAUUCACUGGAAUCAUCGAAGCAUAAGUCCUUGCAAAAUGCUUUGAACACUACUGAAGAUGAAGUGGAAAAAUGUGUUGCGUGCAUAAUAGAAGAAAAGAAGAUUAAAGUACAGAAAGAUGUAGGAUUUGCUUCAAAGCUACAAUCAUCUUUACUCCAAAUAUCAGGCUACAAGAAACUCUGUUUGGCAGUGGAAGA
Molecule: long non-coding RNA, 200 nt
Organism: Protobothrops mucrosquamatus (brown spotted pit viper)
Lineage: Eukaryota; Metazoa; Chordata; Lepidosauria; Squamata; Viperidae
Exons: 3
Source: RefSeq, a predicted model, not a curated record